This 519-nucleotide ribosomal RNA is filed under the name Triticum aestivum (bread wheat). RNAcentral describes it as "partial small subunit ribosomal RNA". The record is from RNAcentral. Lineage: Eukaryota; Viridiplantae; Streptophyta; Magnoliopsida; Poales; Poaceae.
AUGGCUGGGCAUCUCUUUGAGGAUAUCUUCAUUAUGACCAGGAUCGAUCCUGAUGGGAAUAAGUUAGACAGAGAUGUCGCUACCGAUGUCAACCUGAUCCAUUAUGUGUUACGAUUAAUUGUUGUUAUUUUCAGAUGGACGUGCCUUCAUGGAGGGCACGCUGGUAGGAAAACCCUUGCUGACAAGUAUGACUAUGUCAUGCAUGAAAAGCUUUACAAGAUUUCAGAGGACAGUUCCAGUGGUCAAGCUACUAAAGUGGAGAUUUAUGCGUCUUUUGGUGGCCUCCUGGUGUUCCUCAAAGGCGAUCCUUGGAGUGCCGCCAACCUCGAACUGGAUCAAAGGCCGUUCCUCCUCAUACGAAAGGUGCAAAUGACCAGUGCUUCUUCUCCUUUUGUCGGGGCAAAAAUUUACCUCUUGCGUGGCAAGUCACCAACGCUUCUAGUUCAUCAAGGCUAUACCGAGCCUCCCUUCAAUGCCAAUUAUCCUCCCCUGGAAUGUACUCUACUCUUCUGGUGGUAA